AGCAGCCGCGGUAAUUCCAGCUCCAAUAGCGUAUAUUAAAGUUGCUGCAGUUAAAAAGCUCGUAGUUGAAUUUCGGGACUAAUAUGUCGGUCGUGCCUCGGUACGUACUGGUUUAUUGGUUUCUCCUUUCUGAAGAACCAUGAUGUCAUUUAUUUGGUGUCGUGGGGAAUCAGGACUGUUACUUUGGAAAAAUUAGAGUGUUUAAAGCAGGCUCACGCUUGAAUACAUUAGCAUGGAAUAAUGAAAUAGGACGUUUGAUUCUAUUUUGUUGGUUUCUAGGAUCGACGUAAUGAUUAAUAGGGAUAGUUGGGGGCAUUAGUAUUCAAUUGUCAGAGGUGAAAUUCUUGGAUUUAUUGAAGACUAACUACUGCGAAAGCAUUUGCCAAGGAUGUUUUCAUUAAUCAAGAACGAAAGUUAGGGGAUCGAAGACGAUCAGAUACCGUCGUAGUCUUAACCAUAAACUAUGCCGACUAGGGAUCGGAUGAUGUUAAUUUUUUAAUGACUCAUUCGGCGCCUUACG
This 520-nucleotide ribosomal RNA is filed under the name uncultured Glomus. RNAcentral's name for it is "SSU rRNA". It matches the Rfam family "Eukaryotic small subunit ribosomal RNA", at positions 569 to 1092 of the family's 1831-position model. Lineage: Eukaryota; Fungi; Glomeromycota; Glomeromycetes; Glomerales; Glomeraceae. The record is from RNAcentral. RNAcentral also lists the same sequence under 1 other name.